Molecule: long non-coding RNA, 1591 nt
Organism: Camelus dromedarius (Arabian camel)
Lineage: Eukaryota; Metazoa; Chordata; Mammalia; Artiodactyla; Camelidae
Exons: 3
Source: RefSeq, a predicted model, not a curated record
CAGCUCUCCUUUUCCUCCUCGGCCCUCGGCUCUGCCUGAUGCGCUCAGUACUGGCUGCGUCACGUGUGUGUGUGAGCUGCGCCGGACGGGGUUCGCAUCGCCAGCAGCCACAGGAGCGUGUGGCCAGGGGGGCGCGUCGUGCACAGGCCGAUAACCGAGGGAAGGACCUGAGGUCCCCAAGGAGUGAUGUUAACUUAAAUGUGUGGUGAUUUAGCUCCUUGGCAGCUCCAAGUCUUUAAUCACCGUGUAUAAUCCAGGUCCGCGAUGGACCAGCGAAGGCAAAGACAGUGACAUCCCAUGUGCCGCCUGCUAACAGCGAUGUGAGAUACGUGGAUCUCAGAGCUGUGAAACGUGAAGUCAUCUGCGCCAGGAAAUGAAUGAAACAUUAUGAAAAUCAGGUGAAGUCGGACGCCUUAAGCCGGGAGGGUGGCCCUCUAGUGGUAGCCGAGGUGGUUCACCUGCCGUUCAGAGGAAGUGGCUGGCCUCUCCCCGAGCUCUGGGAAUACUCUGGUCUCCCUUCGAGUGGUGGACGUAGAGCCCGGGAGCCGGGAGGAAGAGAGCUUUGUCAGAUUUUGGGUUUUCCCUGAGAAUUGAGGGCCAGACCAGACAUCCGAGGACCCUUGUGGUGGAUUCUAGAUUUCUAUACUGCCCACCAGGAUACAGACAAGCGGGAAGAGGAGCAGACUGCUGAUUCCCGUAGGCCCUGCUCCAGCUGGCCAGCAGGCGUCCCAGAGCGAGCGGCCCUGUCUGAGUCUGACGGCUCGGUCACUCAGGACAGCUCCAGGUGAAAGCUCAUACAGCCACGCGGCCCACCUCCAAGCGCCAGGCUCUGUCUGCGGGCGCAGCAGCGCCAUCUGUGACACACACUUCUCUCCCCUCGAUAGCACAGCAGUCCCCGUGCCAGACCAUUCCAGGUGAUGACUCACAUUCUCGACGUUAACCAGAGAAAGUUCGAAGCACAGCCCAGCCAGCUCUCCUCCCUCAGUCCUCUGGGGACCAACGUUCCCUGGUUUUGUGCAGGGAACACUGGAUGGGAGCCCCCAAAGCUGGUCCAAUUAGCAGGUUUUCUGUUUGCUGUGAGGCUACUGAACUAAGACGGUGAAAAAUUUCGUCAUAAAUAAAAUUUCUCUAUAGACUAGUGGCUUCCAGGCCAGCUGGUUAACAAAUAUAGGGGAGAAUGGCUCCGGCAGGGAGUGUGCUCUGCAGUGGCCCACGGCUUCCAUGGCUCCCUGCUGCCCUCCACCAGGGGCACAGCCAAGGGGGCCGUCACCUUGGUAUUCAGAUAAGCCCCCCAGCUCCCGCACUUCCCCUCCUUCCUGCACCCCCACAUCCCUAGGGCAGCCUCCUCUGCUCCGCUGUGGUCUGUGGUGCAUUGCAUCAGUCAUCUGGGCGCCCUGGAAAGUGCAGAUUACUAGGCCUGCCCUGGACCUGGGGAGAGGGGCUGGGGUUUACACUUAAGUCAAUUUUAAUUCACACUGAAGUCUGAAUCACUUUGUAGAAAGAAUUAAUGUUUGGCUUAGAUAAAUUGUGCAUACUGGUUAGUACUAAAAAUAGCUAUGCAUGUUUGAAAAUCAAGACAAUCUUCAACAUU